UCUGAAUUAGUCACAAGAAGAUGAAGUGUAUGUUUCUGUGUGUCUGAGUUUCCUUCAUAAAUGUGCAGACUGUGUUUCCGUCUCUCUCUGUUAACACUGAGUAUCGUCUGAAGUCGUAUCAAGCACCAUUCUUUUUCCUGCUCUAAGGAUGUCUGCUGCUCUGACAGAGAUGGCAGCCACAGCUUCUAGGAGAUUCCUCGUGUCUUUCCAGUUUUAUUUAUUGUAUUGCUUCUU
RNAcentral lists this long non-coding RNA (234 nucleotides) under Struthio camelus australis. Its description in RNAcentral is "lncRNA (ENSSCUG00000018264.1)". The record is from RNAcentral. Lineage: Eukaryota; Metazoa; Chordata; Aves; Struthioniformes; Struthionidae.